CGUAGGGUGCGAGCGUUAAUCGGAAUUACUGGGCGUAAAGCGUGCGCAGGCGGUUUUGUAAGACAGAUGCGAAAUCCCCGGGCUCAACCUGGGACCUGCAUUUGUGACUGCAAGGCUAGAGUACGGUAGAGGGGGAUGGAAUUCCGCGUGUAGCAGUGAAAUGCGUAGAUAUGCGGAGGAACACCGAUGGCGAAGGCAACCCCCCUGGACCUGUACUGACGCUCAUGCACGAAAGCGUGGGGAGCAAACAGGAUUAGAUACCCUGGUAGUCCACGCCCUAAACGAUGUCAACUGGUUGUUGGGUCUUUACUGACUCAGUAACGAAGCUAACGCGUGAAGUUGACCGCCUGGGGAGUACGGCCGCAAGGUUG
Molecule: ribosomal RNA, 371 nt
Filed under: uncultured organism
Description: bacterial SSU rRNA
Rfam family: Bacterial small subunit ribosomal RNA
Source: RNAcentral